Etheostoma spectabile (orangethroat darter) is the source of this 269-nucleotide long non-coding RNA. RefSeq lists it as uncharacterized. The transcript has 3 exons. Lineage: Eukaryota; Metazoa; Chordata; Actinopteri; Perciformes; Percidae. The record is from RefSeq and is a predicted model, not a curated record.
UCAUCCUGCAGGGCAAAGGGCAGUUAGCACUGGCCCCAGAUGGGAAUGGUGGUCUGUACCAGGCGGGGUGGACAAAAGGUGCUGGAGGACAUGAAGAAGAGAGGAGUGGAGUACCUGCAUGUGUACUGUGUAGACAACAUCCUGGUCAAAAUGGCUGACCCGUGUUUAUUGGGUUCUGUGUGAGCAAAGGAGCCGACUGUGGAGCCAAGGUGGUGGAGAAGGCGUACCCCGGCGAGCCAGGGGGCGUUGUUUGCAGGGUGCGAGGCGUC